AAACAGGAGAGGAUCUACGAAGAGUAAUGAAGUUUUCUAAAGUCCAACUGAAAUGAUUUCAGGAUUCGCUUCAACGAUGCAAAAAUAUAUUUGACAUCUCAAAUCUGAUGAAAUUCAUUUUCUUUACCGUUAUCUUGGACGUAUCACAUGUCAAAAUGCAUUAAUUACCGAUGCUAGCACUUGAAAUAAUAAAAAAAAAAAUCAAAUGAUAACCAAGUUAAAGAAGCAAAGUACUUUUAUAUUACAUACUUGAUUGUACCCCAAACCCAAUUUGUAAGACAUGAAGAAGAAAUCUCUUUGACAGAGUUAUUUCCAAAAUGGCAGAAUCUACCAUCUUGAACCAAAGUAUAUCAUUAGAACAAGAAGGAGAAUUAAGGACAUUCUAUUUCGAGAGCUACCUGAUAGGGUACUUCAUUCUUGACAGAGUACUGGCCUUCGUUGUCAUAUUGCCACCGAAUCUGAACUUCUUUGAGGAAAUGAAUGCUUUGGUGGAAGAAGACCUUGAGCAAGAAAGAGACCAACAUGAAAGAGAGAUGAAGAAAAUCUCUAAUUAUGCAGAUAUGGUCUGAUUGGCUUGUGAGAUAACUAACCAAACUAAUCACUACUUUCAAUCUCAAUUAAAUUCCAACAAACAAUCUAUUUUCUAUACGGACUUGUGUGGUGAUAAGCUAAAUAAAGCUGCCUGAAAACUACUCAGACGAAACUCUGGGGAUAUAGUACAUUGUUUGUUGAUAUAUAAUGGAUAAACAGAAUAAUAAAAGCCCCUGCUGAAAAUUGACGGAGAUUGAAAGUAGUGAUUAAUUUGGUUAGUUAAAACUUACAAGCCCACAAGACCAAUUUGAUUAGUUAGAGAUCUUCUUCCACCAAGCAUCCACUUCCCCACAGGAUUUCAUGGCAGCCAAUUGUAUGCGGAUCGAUCUUCAAUUUGCCGUCUCAGAGUAUGAAACAUGAUCCAACAUCAUCACAGCCUAGCAAUAUCUAAGUAGGUUUCUCUUUUAACCUUGCAUGUUAUAAAGAUUGAGUAUAUAUAAAUAAAAUUGUACUCCGAAAAUUG
Molecule: long non-coding RNA, 1054 nt
Filed under: Citrus x clementina
Lineage: Eukaryota; Viridiplantae; Streptophyta; Magnoliopsida; Sapindales; Rutaceae
Description: Citrus clementina (C. clementina) long non-coding RNA (CCLE_LNC001004)
Source: RNAcentral